GACGAACGCUGGCGGCGUGCUUAACACAUGCAAGUCGAACGGAAAGGCCCUGCUUUUGUGGGGUGCUCGAGUGGCGAACGUGUGAGUAACACGUGAGUAACCUGCCCUUGACUUUGGGAUAACUUCAGGAAACUGGGGCUAAUACCGGAUAGGAGCUCCUGCUGCAUGGUGGGGGUUGGAAAGUUUCGGCGGUUGGGGAUGGACUCGCGGCUUAUCAGCUUGUUGGUGGGGUAGUGGCUUACCAAGGCUUUGACGGGUAGCCGGCCUGAGAGGGUGACCGGCCACAUUGGGACUGAGAUACGGCACAGACUCCUACGGGAGGCAGCAGUGGGGAAUAUUGCACAAUGGGCGGAAGCCGGAUGCAGCAACGCCGCGUGCGGGAUGACGGCCUUCGGGUUGUAAACCGCUUUCGCCUGUGACGAAGCGUGAGUGACGGUAAUGGGUAAAGAAGCACCGGCUAACUACGUG
RNAcentral lists this ribosomal RNA (468 nucleotides) under uncultured bacterium. Its description in RNAcentral is "partial 16S ribosomal RNA". It matches the Rfam family "Bacterial small subunit ribosomal RNA", at positions 28 to 507 of the family's 1533-position model. The record is from RNAcentral.